RNAcentral lists this ribosomal RNA (495 nucleotides) under uncultured bacterium. Its description in RNAcentral is "partial 16S ribosomal RNA". It matches the Rfam family "Bacterial small subunit ribosomal RNA", at positions 28 to 507 of the family's 1533-position model. The record is from RNAcentral.
GACGAACGCUGGCGGCGUGCCUAAUACAUGCCAGUCGAACGCUGAAGGAGGAGCUUGCUUCUCUGGAUGAGUUGCGAGCGGGUGAGUAACGCGUAGGUAACCUGCCUGGUAGCGGGGGAUAACUAUUGGAAACGAUAGCUAAUACCGCAUAAUAGUAGAUGUUGCAUGACAUUUGCUUAAAAGGUGCAAUUGCAUCACUACCAGAUGGACCUGCGUUGUAUUAGCUAGUUGGUGAGGUAACGGCUCACCAAGGCAACGAUACAUAGCCGACCUGAGAGGGUGAUCGGCCACACUGGGACUGAGACACGGCCCAGACUCCUACGGGAGGCAGCAGUAGGGAAUCUUCGGCAAUGGACGGAAGUCUGACCGAGCAACGCCGCGUGAGUGAAGAAGGUUUUCGGAUCGUAAAGCUCUGUUGUAAGAGAAGAACGAGUGUGAGAGUGGAAAGUUCACACUGUGACGGUAUCUUACCAGAAAGGGACGGCUAACUACGUG